CGCGUAAGAGCUCGUAGGCGGUUUGUCGCGUCUGCUGUGAAAGACCGGGGCUCAACUCCGGUUCUGCAGUGGGUACGGGCAGACUAGAGUGCAGUAGGGGAGACUGGAAUUCCUGGUGUAGCGGUGAAAUGCGCAGAUAUCAGGAGGAACACCGAUGGCGAAGGCAGGUCUCUGGGCUGUAACUGACGCUGAGGAGCGAAAGCAUGGGGAGCGAACAGGAUUAGAUACCCUGGUAGUCCAUGCCGUAAACGUUGGGCACUAGGUGUGGGGGACAUUCCACGUUUUCCGCGCCGUAGCUAACGCAUUAAGUGCCCCGCCUGGGGAGUACGGCCGCAAGGCUAAAACUCAAAGGAAUUGACGGGGGCCCGCACAAGCGGCGGAGCAUGCGGAUUAAUUCGAUGCAACGCGAAGAACCUUACCAAGGCUUGACAUGAACCGGUAAUACCUGGAAACAGGUGCCCCGCUUGCGGUCGGUUUACAGGUGGUGCAUGGUUGUCGUCAGCUCGUGUCGUGAGAUGUUGGGUUAAGUCCCGCAACGAGCGCAACCCUCGUUCUAUGUUGCCAGCGCGUUAUGGCGGGGACUCAUAGGAGACUGCCGGGGUCAACUCGGAGGAAGGUGGGGACGACGUCAAAUCAUCAUGCCCCUUAUGUCUUGGGCUUCACGCAUGCUACAAUGGCCGGUACAAAGGGUUGCGAUACUGUGAGGUGGAGCUAAUCCCAAAAAGCCGGUCUCAGUUCGGAUUGGGGUCUGCAACUCGACCCCAUGAAGUCGGAGUCGCUAGUAAUCGCAGAUCAGCAACGCUGCGGUGAAUACGUUCCCGGGCCUUGUACACACCGCCCGUCAGUCACGAAAGUUGGUAACACCCGAAGCCGGUGGCCUAACCCUUGUGGGGGAGCCGUCGAAGUGGGACCGGCGAUUGGACUAAGUCGUACCAAGGUAGGCC
RNAcentral lists this ribosomal RNA (944 nucleotides) under Arthrobacter sp. RNAcentral's name for it is "bacterial SSU rRNA". It matches the Rfam family "Bacterial small subunit ribosomal RNA", at positions 557 to 1502 of the family's 1533-position model. The record is from RNAcentral. Lineage: Bacteria; Bacillati; Actinomycetota; Actinomycetes; Micrococcales; Micrococcaceae.